Molecule: ribosomal RNA, 593 nt
Filed under: Trichoderma asperellum
Lineage: Eukaryota; Fungi; Ascomycota; Sordariomycetes; Hypocreales; Hypocreaceae
Description: eukaryotic LSU rRNA
Rfam family: 5.8S ribosomal RNA (bases 202-355)
Source: RNAcentral
ACAGCGGGAGGGACAUUACCGAGUUUACAACUCCCAAACCCAAUGUGAACGUUACCAAACUGUUGCCUCGGCGGGGUCACGCCCCGGGUGCGUCGCAGCCCCGGAACCAGGCGCCCGCCGGAGGAACCAACCAAACUCUUUCUGUAGUCCCCUCGCGGACGUAUUUCUUACAGCUCUGAGCAAAAAUUCAAAAUGAAUCAAAACUUUCAACAACGGAUCUCUUGGUUCUGGCAUCGAUGAAGAACGCAGCGAAAUGCGAUAAGUAAUGUGAAUUGCAGAAUUCAGUGAAUCAUCGAAUCUUUGAACGCACAUUGCGCCCGCCAGUAUUCUGGCGGGCAUGCCUGUCCGAGCGUCAUUUCAACCCUCGAACCCCUCCGGGGGAUCGGCGUUGGGGAUCGGGACCCCUCACACGGGUGCCGGCCCCGAAAUACAGUGGCGGUCUCGCCGCAGCCUCUCCUGCGCAGUAGUUUGCACAACUCGCACCGGGAGCGCGGCGCGUCCACGUCCGUAAAACACCCAACUUUCUGAAAUGUUGACCUCGGAUCAGGUAGGAAUACCCGCUGAACUUAAGCAUAUCAAAGGCCGGGAGGAAG